RNAcentral lists this long non-coding RNA (406 nucleotides) under Prunus persica (peach). RNAcentral's name for it is "long non-coding RNA (PPER_LNC007398)". The record is from RNAcentral. Lineage: Eukaryota; Viridiplantae; Streptophyta; Magnoliopsida; Rosales; Rosaceae.
GGUUUUGUAGGUAUCCACAAAAACUGAUAGGGGUUCUGGGACGCCGAUCGCAUAAGAAACCUGCACAAUACAGCGCCGAGCAAGCCCUGAUGCGACAACACUCUUUGCUGCCUGCCUUACAAUGUAUGCACCACUCCGGUCCACCUUGGUUGGAUCUUUCCCUGAGAAAGCACCACCACCAUGAGCACCCCAACCACCAUAGGUGUCAAUGAUAAUCUUCCUGCCCGUAAGCCCAGCAUCUCCAUGGGGUCCUCCAAUGACAAAUCUACCCGAAGGAUUGAGGUGAUAAAUAGUUUUGUCAUCAAUGAAUUGGGCUGGGACGACAGGUUUGAUCACAUGUUCCUUCAAAUCACUAGCGAUCUGCUCAUUUUUGACAGUCUCAUCGUGUUGGGUUGAGAUGAGGAUG